RNAcentral lists this ribosomal RNA (532 nucleotides) under uncultured bacterium. RNAcentral's name for it is "bacterial SSU rRNA". It matches the Rfam family "Bacterial small subunit ribosomal RNA", at positions 355 to 873 of the family's 1533-position model. The record is from RNAcentral.
UGGGGAAUCUUGCGCAAUGGACGAAAGUCUGACGCAGCCACGCCGCGUGAGUGAAGAAGGCCUUCGGGUUGUAAAGCUCUGUCGUGCGGGACGAAAAGCCAGUCGGUUAACAGUCGAUUGGCCUGACGGUACCGCAAAGGAAGCACCGGCUAACUCCGUGCCAGCAGCCGCGGUAAUACGGAGGGUGCAAGCGUUGCUCGGAAUUAUUGGGCGUAAAGGGUAGGGUAGGGUGGGUCUCAUUUGUCUGGGGUGAAAUCCUUGAGCUUAACUCAAGAAGUGCCCCCAGAAACGGUGAGACUAGAGUGCUGGAGAGGGUCGUGGAAUUCCCGGUGUAGCGGUGAAAUGCGUAGAGAUCGGGAGGAACACCAGAGGCGAAGGCGGCGACCUGGACAGUGACUGACACUCAACUACGAAAGCGUGGGGAGCAAACAGGAUUAGAUACCCUGGUAGUCCACGCUGUAAACGAUGGGUACUAGGCUUGGUGGGUCUUGACCCCUGCCGAGCCGGCGCUAACGCAAUAAGUACCCCCGCC